AACGAACGCUGGCGGCAGGCCUAACACAUGCAAGUCGAGCGGACCUUUCGGGGUCAGCGGCGGACGGGUGAGUAACGCGUGGGAAAAGGCCCUUCUCUCCGGAUAGUUCCGGGGAACCGGGGGUUAAUCCGGAAAAGGCCCUUGGGGGAAAGGUUUAACGGGGGAGGAUUAGCCCGCGUUGGAUUAGGGAGUUGGUGGGGGAAUGGCCUACCAAGCCGACGAUCCAUAGCUGGGUUGAGAGGAUGAUCAGCCACACUGGGACUGAGACACGGCCCAGACUCCUACGGGAGGCAGCAGUGGGGAAUCUUAGACAAUGGGGGCAACCCUGAUCGAGCCAUGCCGCGUGAGUGAUGAAGGCCUUAGGGUUGUAAAGCUCUUUCAGCUGGGAAGAUAAUGACGGUACCAGCAGAAGAAGCCCCGGCUAACUCCGUG
Molecule: ribosomal RNA, 432 nt
Filed under: uncultured bacterium
Lineage: Bacteria
Description: partial 16S ribosomal RNA
Rfam family: Bacterial small subunit ribosomal RNA
Source: RNAcentral